Molecule: unclassified non-coding RNA, 1728 nt
Filed under: Hevea brasiliensis (rubber tree)
Lineage: Eukaryota; Viridiplantae; Streptophyta; Magnoliopsida; Malpighiales; Euphorbiaceae
Source: RNAcentral
AACAGCAAAUUAACCAGGUAAAAAGAAGAGCUAACUUCUCUUCAGUAUUAUUAUUGGACACGAGUCUUCAUGAUGUACAUGAAAAUAUAUAUAUAUUUUUUAUUCCUCCCUUUUUUUUCAUAACCUUACCAAUGCGUUUUAAAAUGAAUUUAUGGUAAGAUUGGAGCGGAUGACACUAACAAAUGGGAUGCAAUUUCAACCAGUCGUAGAAUCAGGUGCAAUAAAUAGGCAAAAUCCUCAGUUGCCAUGCAGUUGUUGAAAGAAGUUUUUGCAGGCUUCAUAGGUGGACCAGCUAAUGGCAGCAGCAGGAGCAUGGAAGAGCAUCCUGGGGAUCCAUCCCCUCAUAAGCCCAUGGUAACCAUCCUUCUUAACUAUGGUUUUAAUCACAUUCCCAAUUGAGCUACUGGAAAAUCUAUAACACCCACAAACUCCCUGUCUCACCAAAACAAACCCAUCACCAAUCAGUUAUUAACAUAAUGAGAGCUUUUACUUGUAUCCAACAGCUCUGCUGAAAUUUAACGUUACCUGGCACUGUAACUGCGUUUUCACCACAUCAAGCGGGGUAGUAACAGCAGCAGCCAAGGCCCCAGCAGCUGCACCAGCUGUGGCAUGAACCACCAGCCGCUCGUCACUAGCACUCUCCGGGGACACCUCCAUCAACGCCCUCUUCGCCGCUUCAUAAGUCGUAAAGUAAACGGCCGUAAACGGCGCAUUCAUAAUUACCGUAGUCCUAUACGACGCGUAGAACGCCCCUGCUCCCUCCUCCAUCAAUACUCUCUUGACGCAAUCCCCAACUCCCUUGUACGGACUGCUAUUCAGCUGCAGCCUCUGCUUCACCAUGUCCAUCGGCGUGAACACCGCAUCGCUCGCCACCGUCGCGAAAACGCCGGAGACGGCGUGCGCCAUUGAAUUAUUCGGGUUCCCACGGGAAAAGAACUGCUUGCAGAGCUCGUACACGGAGAAGUAAACGGCGUGAGCAGGUCCAGCUCCGAGUCCCAUGGCGCCGAUACCGCGAUAGAGUCCAGCUGGGCCCUCGAGUUUCAAGAUAGAGCCAAGAGACUGGCGGACUCCAAUGGACUGGGGCGGGCAAGACCCGCCAAAAGCUUGCAUGCGAGUCUUGAGAGUAUCAACGGGAAACAUGGCCAUGUGUUCGACGGAGCCAGCGAUGGAACCGGCAAUCAUGUAUUGCCAGAAACGAAGGCCAUCAUGGGAGACGGAGAUAUCUGGAAUAUCGGGGUGGUGGAAGUCGGCAGCCCGAUAUUUCGGGGAGGCAUCGGUGGCCAUCGGUGAGGGAAUGAAUGAAAGAGGAAAAUGUGAUGAGGGUUUAAAAGGGGAAGUGGAUAAUUGAGGCCUGGAAAUCGCUUUCGGGCGGAGUGAUGGGAUUGGGUUGUCGCCAUACACCAAAGUUAUCUUUUUUUUGAUGCUAAGAGAGAUUUUAGAUUUUGGAGUUGGAAUGAGAAAGAGACUGUCAGCUGAAAAAGAAGUAGCAGAAACGAAUCAUCAUCAAGUGGAGAAGAUAAUGGAAACAGUUUUCAUGGUUUUCACUUUUGAAGAAAAAGAGGUAAUCCAGAACCAGAAGUAGUUUAUGUUAGCAUUAAGCUGCGACUACUUAAAGAAUUAAAGCUAAUCAUGUAAUGUAAUGAGAAUGGUUUUCAAAACGAAAUAACACCAACCAAGCAAUCCUAGUUGUUACCUUUGACCAUUAUUUAUUGAAUUAAGAUAUUGCGG